UGCAAUGUUUUAGCAUUGCAGAAAACGAAAAACAGUGAGUUACUAGUUUUAUGAUCAUGAACAUAUGUUUGAGCUUCUAAGUGUGGUGGGGAAGCCCAUUACUUUCCCUAAUAAUUAUGUGGGUCGUAAGCCAAUUGGCUGUCAUUAUGGGGAUAUAAAGGGCGGUAGACCUGUGCUUGAGGUCAGCGUCAUUGUCAACGUCACUAACGCGUCGCGAACGCUGUACUGUGGCUGCUUCCGGCAUCAGGUGUGGACAUUGGAGAGAGUAAGCUCCGAUUGCAUGAUUGCCUUUCCCUCGCGUAUCGUUCGAAUCAGCUGUUCUGUUUCUCGUGCGGGUCUCGCACUGCUGCUGUGGCUGCCGUUGUUGUGUGUGACUAUGCAUACAUCAGAUGCGUCAUCGGUGCUCCCCUUGAAAUAUUGAAAGUGUUGACUGCUAGUCCGGGCGCGUUUCACGUCCUGCCCACGGAUAACACUGCUGUUUUGUUUUGUGUUGAUUUUGUUUUAUAGUUUGUUUUGUUUGUCUUUAUUUAUAUUUGGUUAAAAGUGAUAUUCUCUGCUCUUCUUUGUCUUCGUAUUUUCUAUUAGUUUUCUGUGUAUUUAUUUUUAGUUGAUUCCUAUUUUUCAAAGAACCUUAUCCUCGUUCUUGGGUUUAUUUUGCAGCUCAUCAUUUUGUUGGCUGUUUGAUUAAUUGUAUAUUUUGUUAAAUGUGAUUUUUCUCCUUUUGUAUUUUUCUAGUUGUAUUUUUGUUUUGCUGUUUUCUUUUUUUUGUAAACUGUUAAAAAUUAACUGUUUCUAUUGUGCAUCUUCUUGAUUUUUUUGAACUUAUUCGUUGUUAUUUGAGGGCAAAUAGGCCUUGUCCAUUUCUUUUGCAGUUUGGUUAAUUCUUAUUGUUUGUGUUUUGUCAAUUAGUUUAAAUUAACAUGAGGGCAGUUCAGUGUCAUGUUUAAUAAUUCUGUGUGUAUCUUAGUGAUUCUUUAUUGAGAUUGCUCUGUUUUUGUGUCACAGGAUCUGGGUGCCAAAGGCAGGGAGGCCGGCUCUAUUCCCUUCUAGUGGUGGUGGUGUUAUUCACAGUGUGCUGUGUCCAUCGGUGGAAAGUGGUGUGUGUGUGUGUGUUUGCGUGCACUGGUAAAAGGAAUUAUUUUUGACAGCCUGACCCUGCUGGUAAGCCCCAGUUAGCUGGUGUUCCUGUGACAUUUGUAGAGCUAAACUUUUAUGAUGCGCUGUGGUUUGGCUGAGGCCGAUAUGUUUUAAUGAUUGUUUUAAAGGGACUCUGAUUUAAUAAAGUAAAUGGUUUUGUAUUGUUGCCCAUGUCUCUGAGCGUUUAUUUGGUGGACGAACUUGCGUGUCCUUUAGAGGGACCAAUUUCUCUGGGUGGGAUUUCCAGAGUGGCGUAGUUUGGCAAAAUUAUCCUUUACAUACACCCGUGGGUUGCCACAUAAGCAUAAAACGCUCAGUUUAGCGCUUCUGUGUAGAGUAACACUCUGUUAGUGCAACUAAGCAAAUGAACAGAAAGAAAGCAAAGAAGUGCUGAAAACCUUCUUUCUCUGUUAGAGAAUGAUAGUUUGAACAAAGUUAUAACUAAAGCUUGCCCACAUUAAAGAUGUUUC
Molecule: long non-coding RNA, 1607 nt
Organism: Cyprinus carpio carpio
Lineage: Eukaryota; Metazoa; Chordata; Actinopteri; Cypriniformes; Cyprinidae
Source: Ensembl